Molecule: ribosomal RNA, 254 nt
Filed under: uncultured bacterium
Lineage: Bacteria
Description: partial 16S ribosomal RNA
Rfam family: Bacterial small subunit ribosomal RNA
Source: RNAcentral
UACGGGGGGGGGCGAGCGUUGUUCGGAAUUACUGGGCGUAAAGGGCUCGUAGGCGGCCAACUAAGUCAGACGUGAAAUCCCUCGGCUUAACCGGGGAACUGCGUCUGAUACUGGAUGGCUAGAGGUUGGGAGAGGGAUGCGGAAUUCCAGGUGUAGCGGUGAAAUGCGUAGAUAUCUGGAGGAACACCGGUGGCGAAGGCGGCAUCCUGGACCAAUUCUGACGCUGAGGAGCGAAAGCCAGGGGAGCAAACGGG